GAGGGCAUAAACCAAAUAGUGACCGGAGAAUUGGUGUCUCUCUCAGAGCAAGAGCUCGUCGACUGUGACACGUCCUACAACGCCGGAUGCAAUGGCGGUCUCAUGGACUACGCCUUCGAGUUCAUUAUCCUAAACGGCGGCAUUGACACUGAAUCCGACUACCCUUACAAAGCAUAUGACCAAAAAUGCAACGUUGCCCUGGUCAGUCCAAAAUUUUCAAUGCCAAUCCCCUAUUUAUACUCUUGUAGGGUAAUAUUUCAUUUUUUCUAACGUCUUGCUUUGUUGCACUAUAAUUUUGCAGGAGAAAAAUACGGUUGUUAGCAUUGACGGGUACGAAGAUGUUCCGUCCUACGACGAGAACGCAUUGAAGAAAGCAGUUGCACACCAACCCGUUAGCGUGGCCAUUGAAGCCGGCGGCUUGGCCUUACAACUCUACCAGUCGGGUGUUUUCACUGGUGAGUGCGGAUCAGCAUUGGACCACGGUGUCGUUGCCGUCGGGUAUGGCACUGAAAACGGCACAGACUAUUGGUUGGUGAGGAACUCGUGGGGCACCAACUGGGGAGAAAGCGGAUAUUUUAA
RNAcentral lists this long non-coding RNA (579 nucleotides) under Malus domestica (apple). Its description in RNAcentral is "long non-coding RNA (MDOM_LNC001616)". The record is from RNAcentral. Lineage: Eukaryota; Viridiplantae; Streptophyta; Magnoliopsida; Rosales; Rosaceae.